AAAGACCUUUCUUGCGACUGGCUCCUUCUUGGACCUCUGUACUAAAAGGAGGGCCGAAGCAGUGCCUGAAAUGCCUUACCUCGGAGAAGAAGAAAAAAGAAAAGAAAGCGAAAUGAAACUAAAGACGGUAGCAAAGGGUAUGCGUGAGCAAUUCGUAUAUCAAAUUUGUAUAUUUAAACAGUUUGAAAGGAAAAAGCCAAAAUGAUAGUAUUGAAUAUCAGAUACUAGAAGGAAUUGAUAAACGUCUAGAAAAACAUCUGAAAGAAGCCAGCAAUUAAAAGAAGACCACAUUUCUCAAAAUUUAAUUGCUUACAGAGAAGCCCUAUUUUCUAGUGCCUUGGUUUGUUACUCAUUUAUGACUAUGAUUGCAAUGAAACACCUUUGUAGGUAUGAUUUACAGAAAAACAAGAAAAUAAAAUUACAUCUAUAAUUGA
Molecule: long non-coding RNA, 434 nt
Organism: Pantherophis guttatus
Lineage: Eukaryota; Metazoa; Chordata; Lepidosauria; Squamata; Colubridae
Source: RefSeq, a predicted model, not a curated record